Molecule: small RNA, 9854 nt
Filed under: Pan troglodytes (chimpanzee)
Lineage: Eukaryota; Metazoa; Chordata; Mammalia; Primates; Hominidae
Description: processed transcript
Source: RNAcentral
CCCGGGAGAGCAGGAGAGAGCAGGGGAACAAGCCAGCAAGCAGGAGAGAGAAGAGAGUGAGCGUCCCUCAGAGCGGGUUGCGCAGGGAGGAGCCCGACCUUCAGCCUCAGCUGGCCAGCGAAGCCCCACGCCGCCCUGCCCAGCCGCCUCCUUCCAAAUCCGCGCUGCUCCCCCCACCGUCCCCUCGGGUCGGGAAGCGGUCCCCGCCGGGACCCCCGGCCCAGCCCGCGGCCACCCCCACGUCGCCCCACCGUCGCACUCAGGAGCCUGUGCUGCCCGAGGACACCACCACCGAAGAGAAGCGAGGGAAGAAGUCCAAGUCGUCCGGGCCCUCCCUGGCGGGCACCGCGGAAUCCCGACCCCAGACGCCACUGAGCGAGGCCUCAGGCCGCCUGUCGGCGUUGGGCCGAUCGCCUAGGCUGGUGCGCGCCGGCUCCCGCAUCCUGGACAAGCUGCAGUUCUUCGAGGAGCGACGGCGCAGCCUGGAGCGCAGCGACUCGCCGCCGGCGCCCCUGCGGCCCUGGGUGCCCCUGCGCAAGGCCCGCUCUCUGGAGCAGCCCAAGUCGGAGCGCGGCGCACCGUGGGGCACCCCCGGGGCCUCGCAGGAAGAACUGCGGGCGCCAGGCAGCGUGGCCGAGCGGCGCCGCCUGUUCCAGCAGAAAGCGGCCUCGCUGGACGAGCGCACGCGUCAGCGCAGCCCGGCCUCAGACCUCGAGCUGCGCUUCGCCCAGGAGCUGGGCCGCAUCCGCCGCUCCACGUCGCGGGAGGAGCUGGUGCGCUCGCACGAGUCCCUGCGCGCCACGCUGCAGCGUGCCCCAUCCCCUCGAGAGCCCGGCGAGCCCCCGCUCUUCUCUCGGCCCUCCACCCCCAAGACAUCGCGGGCCGUGAGCCCCGCCGCCGCCCAGCCGCCCUCUCCGAGCAGCGCGGAGAAGCCGGGGGACGAGCCUGGGAGGCCCAGGAGCCGCGGGCCGGCGGGCAGGACAGAGCCGGGGGAAGGCCCGCAGCAGGAGGUUAGGCGUCGGGACCAAUUCCCGCUGACCCGGAGCAGAGCCAUCCAGGAGUGCAGGAGCCCUGUGCCGCCCCCCGCCGCCGAUCCCCCAGAGGCCAGGACGAAAGCAUCCCCUGGUCGGAAGCGGGAGCCCCCGGCACAGGCCGUGCGCUUCCUGCCCUGGGCCACGCCGGGCCUGGAGGGCGCUGCUGUACCCCAGACCUUGGAGAAGAACAGGGCGGGGCCUGAGGCGGAGAAGAGGCUGCGCAGAGGGCCGGAGGAGGACGGUCCCUGGGGGCCCUGGGACCGCCGAGGGGCCCGCAGCCAGGGCAAAGGUCGCCGGGCCCGGCCCACCUCCCCUGAGCUCGAGUCUUCGGAUGACUCCUACGUGUCCGCUGGAGAAGAGCCCCUAGAGGCCCCUGUGUUUGAGAUCCCCCUGCAGAAUGUGGUGGUGGCACCAGGGGCAGACGUGCUGCUCAAGUGUAUCGUCACUGCCAACCCCCUGCCCCAAGUGUCCUGGCACAAGGAUGGGUCAGCGCUGCGCAGCGAGGGCCGCCUCCUCCUCCGGGCUGAGGGUGAGCGGCACACCCUGCUGCUCAGGGAGGCCAGGGCAGCGGAUGCCGGGAGCUAUAUGGCCACCGCCACCAACGAGCUGGGCCAGGCCACCUGUGCCGCCUCACUGACCGUGAGACCCGGUGGGUCUACAUCCCCUUUCAGCAGCCCCAUCACCUCCGACGAGGAAUACCUGAGUCCCCCAGAGGAGUUCCCAGAGCCUGGGGAGACCUGGCCACGAACCCCCACCAUGAAGCCCAGUCCCAGCCAGAACCGCCGUUCUUCUGACACUGGCUCCAAGGCACCCCCCACCUUCAAGGUCUCACUUAUGGACCAGUCAGUAAGAGAAGGCCAAGAUGUCAUCAUGAGCAUCCGCGUGCAGGGGGAGCCCAAGCCUGUGGUCUCCUGGCUGAGAAACCGCCAGCCUGUGCGCCCAGACCAGCGGCGCUUUGCGGAGGAGGCUGAGGGUGGGCUGUGCCGGCUGCGGAUCCUGGCUGCAGAGCGUGGCGAUGCUGGUUUCUACACUUGCAAAGCGGUCAAUGAGUAUGGUGCUCGGCAGUGCGAGGCCCGCUUGGAGGUCCGAGCACACCCUGAAAGCCGGUCCCUGGCCGUGCUGGCCCCCCUGCAGGACGUGGACGUGGGGGCCGGGGAGAUGGCGCUGUUUGAGUGCCUGGUGGCGGGGCCCACUGACGUGGAGGUGGAUUGGCUGUGCCGUGGCCGCCUGCUGCAGCCUGCACUGCUCAAAUGCAAGAUGCAUUUCGAUGGCCGCAAAUGCAAGCUGCUACUUACAUCUGUACAUGAGGACGACAGUGGCGUCUACACCUGCAAGCUCAGCACGGCCAAAGAUGAGCUGACCUGCAGUGCCCGGCUGACCGUGCGGCCCUCGUUGGCACCCCUGUUCACACGGCUGCUGGAAGAUGUGGAGGUGUUGGAGGGCCGAGCUGCCCGUUUCGACUGCAAGAUCAGUGGCACCCCGCCCCCUGUUGUUACCUGGACUCAUUUUGGCCGCCCCAUGGAGGAGAGUGAGAACUUGCGGCUGCGGCAGGACGGGGGUCUGCACUCACUGCACAUUGCCCAUGUGGGUAGCGAGGAUGAGGGGCUCUAUGCGGUCAGUGCUGUUAACACCCAUGGCCAGGCCCACUGCUCAGCCCAGCUGUAUGUAGAAGAGCCCCGGACAGCCGCCUCAGGCCCCAGCUCGAAGCUGGAGAAGAUGCCAUCCAUUCCCGAGGAGCCAGAGCAGGGUGAGCUGGAGCGGCUGUCCAUUCCCGACUUCCUGCGGCCACUGCAGGACCUGGAGGUGGGACUGGCCAAGGAGGCCAUGCUAGAGUGCCAGGUGACCGGCCUGCCCUACCCCACCAUCAGCUGGUUCCACAACGGCCACCGCAUCCAGAGCAGCGACGACCGGCGCAUGACACAGUACAGGGAUGUGCAUCGCUUGGUGUUCCCUGCCGUGGGGCCUCAGCACGCCGGUGUCUACAAGAGCGUCAUUGCCAACAAGCUGGGCAAAGCUGCCUGCUAUGCCCACCUGUAUGUCACAGAUGUGGUCCCAGGCCCUCCAGAUGGCGCCCCGCAGGUGGUGGCUGUAACGGGGAGGAUGGUCACACUCACAUGGAACCCCCCCAGGAGUCUGGACAUGGCCAUCGACCCGGACUCCCUGACGUACACAGUGCAGCACCAGGUGCUGGGCUCGGACCAGUGGACGGCACUGGUCACAGGCCUGCGGGAGCCAGGGUGGGCAGCCACAGGGCUGCGUAAGGGGGUCCAGCACAUCUUCCGGGUCCUCAGCACCACUGUCAAGAGCAGCAGCAAGCCCUCACCCCCUUCUGAGCCUGUGCAGCUGCUGGAGCACGGCCCACCCCUGGAGGAGGCCCCUGCCAUGCUGGACAAACCAGACAUCGUGUAUGUGGUGGAGGGACAGCCUGCCAGCAUCACCGUCACAUUCAACCAUGUGGAGGCCCAGGUCGUCUGGAGGAGCUGCCGAGGGGCCCUCCUAGAGGCACGGGCCGGUGUGUACGAGCUGAGCCAGCCAGAUGAUGACCAGUACUGUCUUCGGAUCUGCCAGGUGAGCCGCCGGGACAUGGGGGCCCUCACCUGCACCGCCCGAAACCGUCACGGCACACAGACCUGCUCGGUCACAUUGGAGCUGGCAGAGGCCCCUCGGUUUGAGUCCAUCAUGGAGGACGUGGAGGUGGGGGCUGGGGAAACUGCUCGCUUUGCGGUGGUGGUCGAGGGAAAACCACUGCCGGACAUCAUGUGGUACAAGGACGAGGUGCUGCUGACCGAGAGCAGCCAUGUGAGCUUCGUGUACGAGGAGAAUGAGUGCUCCCUGGUGGUGCUCAGCACGGGGGCCCAGGAUGGAGGCGUCUACACCUGCACCGCCCAGAACCUGGCGGGUGAGGUCUCCUGCAAAGCAGAGUUGGCUGUGCAUUCAGCUCAGACAGCUAUGGAGGUCGAGGGGGUCGGGGAGGAUGAGGACCAUCGAGGAAGGAGACUCAGCGACUUUUAUGACAUCCACCAGGAGAUCGGCAGGGGUGCUUUCUCCUACUUGCGGCGCGUAGUGGAGCGUAGCUCCGGCCUGGAGUUUGCGGCCAAGUUCAUCCCCAGCCAGGCCAAGCCAAAGGCAUCAGCGCGUCGGGAGGCCCGGCUGCUGGCCAGGCUCCAGCACGACUGUGUCCUCUACUUCCAUGAGGCCUUCGAGAGGCGCCGGGGACUGGUCAUUGUCACCGAGCUCUGCACAGAGGAGCUGCUGGAGCGAAUGGCCAGGAAACCCACCGUGUGUGAGUCUGAGAUCCGGGCCUAUAUGCGGCAGGUGCUAGAGGGAAUACACUACCUGCACCAGAGCCACGUGCUGCACCUCGAUGUCAAGCCUGAGAACCUGCUGGUGUGGGAUGGUGCUGCGGGCGAGCAGCAGGUGCGGAUCUGUGACUUUGGGAAUGCCCAGGAGCUGACGCCAGGAGAGCCCCAGUACUGCCAGUAUGGCACACCUGAGUUUGUAGCACCCGAGAUUGUCAAUCAGAGCCCCGUGUCUGGAGUCACUGACAUCUGGCCUGUGGGUGUCGUUGCCUUCCUCUGUCUGACAGGAAUCUCCCCGUUUGUUGGGGAAAAUGACCGGACAACAUUGAUGAACAUCCGAAACUACAACGUGGCCUUCGAGGAGACCACAUUCCUGAGCCUGAGCAGGGAGGCCCGGGGCUUCCUCAUCAAAGUGUUGGUGCAGGACCAGCUGAGACCUACCGCAGAGGAGACCCUAGAACAUCCUUGGUUCAAAACUCAGGCAAAGGGCGCAGAGGUGAGCACGGAUCACCUGAAGCUAUUCCUCUCCCGGCGGAGGUGGCAGCGCUCCCAGAUCAGCUACAAAUGCCACCUGGUGCUGCGCCCUAUCCCCGAGCUGCUGCGGGCCCCCCCAGAGCGGGUGUGGGUGACCAUGCCCAGAAGGCCACCCCCCAGUGGGGGGCUCUCAUCCUCCUCGGAUUCUGAAGAGGAAGAGCUGGAAGAGCUGCCCUCAGUGCCCCGCCCACUGCAGCCCGAGUUCUCUGGCUCCCGGGUGUCCCUCACAGACAUUCCCACUGAGGAUGAGGCCCUGGGGACCCCAGAGACUGGGGCUGCCACCCCCAUGGACUGGCAGGAGCAGGGAAGGGCUCCCUCUCAGGACCAGGAGGCUCCCAGCCCAGAGGCCCUCCCCUCCCCAGGCCAGGAGCCCGCAGCUGGGGCUAGCCCCAGGCGGGGAGAGCUCCGCAGGGGCAGCUCGGCUGAGAGCGCCCUGCCCCGGGCCGGGCCGCGGGAGCUGGGCCGGGGCCUGCACAAGGCGGCGUCUGUGGAGCUGCCGCAGCGCCGCAGCCCCAGCCCGGGAGCCACCCGCCUGGCCCGGGGAGGCCUGGGUGAGGGCGAGUAUGCCCAGAGGCUGCAGGCCCUGCGCCAGCGGCUGCUGCGGGGAGGCCCCGAGGAUGGCAAGGUCAGCGGCCUCAGGGGUCCCCUGCUGGAGAGCCUGGGGGGCCGUGCUCGGGACCCCCGGAUGGCACGAGCUGCCUCCAGCGAGGCAGCGCCCCACCACCAGCCCCCACUCGAGAACCGGGGCCUGCAAAAGAGCAGCAGCUUCUCCCAGGGUGAGGCGGAGCCCCGGGGCCGGCACCGCCGAGCGGGGGCGCCCCUCGAGAUCCCCGUGGCCAGGCUUGGGGCCCGUAGGCUACAGGAGUCUCCUUCCCUGUCUGCCCUCAGCGAGGCCCAGCCAUCCAGCCCUGCACGGCCCAGCGCCCCCAAACCCAGUACCCCGAAGUCUGCAGAACCUUCUGCCACCAUACCUAGUGAUGCUCCGCAGCCCCCCGCACCCCAGCCUGCCCAAGACAAGGCCCCAGAGCCUAGGCCAGAACCAGUCCGAGCCUCCAAGCCUGUACCACCCCCCCAGGCCCUGCAAACCCUAGCGCUGCCCCUCACACCCUAUGCUCAGAUCAUUCAGUCCCUCCAGCUGUCAGGCCACGCCCAGGGCCCCCCGCAGGGCCCUGCCGCGUCGCCUUCAGAGCCCAAGCCCCACGCUGCUGUCUUUGCCAGGGUGGCCUCCCCACCUCCGGGAGCCCCGGAGAAGCGCGUGCCCUCAGCCGGGGGUCCCCCGGUGCUAGCCGAGAAAGCCCGAGUUCCUACGGUGCCCCCCAGGCCAGGCAGCAGUCUCAGUAGCAGCAUCGAAAACUUGGAGUCGGAGGCCGUGUUCGAGGCCAAGUUCAAGCGCAGCCGCGAGUCGCCCCUGUCGCUGGGGCUGCGGCUGCUGAGCCGUUCGCGCUCGGAGGAGCGCGGCCCCUUCCGUGGGGCCGAGGAGGAGGAUGGCAUAUACCGGCCCAGCCCGGCGGGGACCCCGCUGGAGCUGGUGCGACGGCCUGAGCGCUCACGCUCGGUGCAGGACCUCAGGGCUGUCGGAGAGCCUGGCCUCGUCCGCCGCCUCUCGCUGUCACUGUCCCAGCGGCUGCGGCGGACCCCUCCCGCGCAGCGCCACCCGGCCUGGGAGGCCCGCGGCGGGGACGGAGAGAGCUCGGAGGGCGGGAGCUCGGCGCGGGGCUCCCCGGUGCUGGCGAUGCGCAGGCGGCUGAGCUCCACCCUGGAGCGGCUGUCCAGCCGAUUGCAGCGCAGUGGCAGCAGCGAGGACUCGGGGGGCGCGUCGGGCCGCAGCACGCCGCUGUUCGGACGGCUUCGCAGGGCCACGUCUGAGGGCGAGAGUCUGCGGCGCCUAGGCCUUCCGCACAACCAGUUGGCCGCCCAGGCCGGCGCCACCACGCCUUCCGCCGAGUCCCUGGGCUCCGAGGCCAGCGCCACGUCGGGCUCCUCAGCCCCAGGGGAAAGCCGAAGCCGGCUCCGCUGGGGCUUCUCUCGGCCGCGGAAGGACAAGGGGUUAUUGCCACCAAACCUCUCUGCCAGCGUCCAGGAGGAGUUGGGUCACCAGUACGUGCGCAGUGAGUCAGACUUCCCCCCAGUCUUCCACAUCAAACUCAAGGACCAGGUGCUGCUGGAGGGGGAGGCAGCCACCCUGCUCUGCCUGCCAGCGGCCUGCCCUGCACCGCACAUCUCCUGGAUGAAAGACAAGAAGUCCUUGAGGUCAGAGCCCUCAGUGAUCAUCGUGUCCUGCAAAGAUGGGCGGCAGCUGCUCAGCAUCCCCCGGGCGGGCAAGCGGCACGCCGGUCUCUAUGAGUGCUCGGCCACCAACGUCCUGGGCAGCAUCACCAGCUCCUGUACCGUGGCUGUGGCCCGAGUCCCAGGAAAGCUAGCUCCUCCAGAGGUACCCCAGACCUACCAGGACACGGCGCUGGUGCUGUGGAAGCCGGGAGACAGCCGGGCACCUUGCACGUAUACGCUGGAGCGGCGAGUGGAUGGGGAGUCUGUGUGGCACCCUGUGAGCUCAGGCAUCCCCGACUGUUACUACAACGUGACCCACCUGCCAGUUGGCGUGACUGUGAGGUUCCGUGUGGCCUGUGCCAACCGUGCUGGGCAGGGGCCCUUCAGCAAUCCUUCUGAGAAGGUCUUUGUCAGGGGUACUCAAGAUUCUUCAGCUGUGCCAUCUGCUGCCCACCAAGAGGCCCCUGUCACCUCAGGGCCAGCCAGGGCCCCGCCUCCUGACUCUCCUACCUCACUGGCCCCACCCCUAGCUCCUGCUGCCCCUACACCCCCAUCAGUCACUGUCAGCCCCUCAUCUCCCCCCACACCCCCUAGCCAGGCCUUGUCCUCGCUCAAGGCUGUGGGUCCACCACCCCAAACCCCUCCACGAAGACACAGGGGCCUGCAGGCGGCCCGGCCAGCGGAGCCCGCCCUACCCAGUACCCACAUCACCCCAAGUGAGCCCAAGCCUUUCGUCCUUGACACUGGGACCCCGAUCCCAGCCUCCACUCCUCAAGGGGUUAAACCAGUGUCUUCCUCUACUCCUGUGUAUGUGGUGACUUCCUUCGUGUCUGCACCACCAGCCCCUGAGCCCCCAGCCCCUGAGCCCCCUCCUGAGCCUACCAAGGUGACUGUGCAGAGCCUCAGCCUGGCCAAGGAGGUGGUCAGCUCCCCUGGGAGCAGUCCUCGAAGCUCUCCCAGGCCUGAGGGUACCACUCUUCGACAGGGCCCCCCUCAGAAACCCUACACCUUCCUGGAGGAGAAAGCCAGGGGCCGCUUUGGUGUUGUGCGAGCGUGCCGGGAGAAUGCCACGGGGCGAACGUUCGUGGCCAAGAUCGUGCCCUAUGCUGCCGAGGGCAAGCGGCGGGUCCUGCAGGAGUACGAGGUGCUGCGGACCCUGCACCACGAGCGGAUCAUGUCCCUGCACGAGGCCUACAUCACCCCUCGGUACCUCGUGCUCAUAGCUGAGAGCUGUGGCAACCGGGAACUCCUCUGUGGGCUCAGUGACAGGUUCCGGUAUUCUGAGGAUGACGUGGCCACUUACAUGGUGCAGCUGCUACAAGGCCUGGACUACCUCCACGGCCGCCACGUGCUCCACCUAGACAUCAAGCCAGACAACCUGCUGCUGGCCCCUGACAAUGCCCUCAAGAUCGUGGACUUCGGCAGUGCCCAGCCCUACAACCCCCAGGCCCUUAGGCCCCUUGGCCACCGCACGGGCACGCUGGAGUUCAUGGCUCCGGAGAUGGUGAAGGGAGAACCCAUCGGCUCUGCCACGGACAUCUGGGGAGCGGGUGUGCUCACUUACAUUAUGCUCAGUGGACGCUCCCCGUUCUAUGAGCCAGACCCCCAGGAAACGGAGACUCGGAUUGUGGGGGGCCGCUUUGAUGCCUUCCAGCUGUACCCCAAUACAUCCCAGAGCGCCACCCUCUUCUUGCGAAAGGUUCUCUCAGUACAUCCCUGGAGCCGGCCCUCCCUGCAGGACUGCCUGGCCCACCCAUGGUUGCAGGACGCCUACCUGAUGAAGCUGCGCCGCCAGACGCUCACCUUCACCACCAACCGGCUCAAGGAGUUCCUGGGCGAGCAGCGGCGGCGCCGGGCUGAGGCUGCCACCCGCCACAAGGUGCUGCUGCGCUCCUACCCUGGCGGCCCCUAGAGGCACGGACCACAGCCAGGCCUCAGGCUUCAACUGGGGUUCCCACCAAUGCCACGGGACAUUCCAGGGCCCACGCUGAGCCAGGCGGGCCUGGGGCUUCGGUUACCACCAGCAGCAACAUCUGGCCGGGCUCUUACCUCAUAGACCUUCAAGGACAGAGACCCCAGGGCCUGGACCUGAUGCCACCCCAGGCCAAAGCCAGAGUGGGAGACCCAUUGGCCAGGCUCAGCAGGGUGGGAACAGGCAGAGGGACAAGAGGGGAAUGGGGAAGUGGAGAGGAAAAGGAAUCGAGGGACAGGAAGGGGGAGGCUCUAGGAAGGUUCUGGGUUGGGGGUCAGUGCAUCUCAGGGAGAACCAAGGAAGGUGGGCAUGGCUGGAGAGGAGGAAAAGGAAGGAGCCCCAGGUGUCAGGGCAGUAGGCUGGGAGUCAGUGUGGCAAAGCGGGGGCAGGACACAGAUACAGUGGCAGGGGCCCAGGGCUGGGACGUGAGAGAAGGCAGUGAGGCGGCAGAGGGAGAAGAGAGGACUCAGGUGGAGGUGGGGUGGGUCAGCUGUCAGCAUCCCUCAGAGGAGAAAGGUGGAGAGCUGGAGGCCAGCAGUCGCUCACACUCGCUCUGUCCUCCUGUCCAGUGGAUACAGCCCUGGGCGCUCUGCUGGCCCAAGGAUGUCCCCACUGCCCCUCCAUGGCCUUUGGCCUUCUUCCCAUUCAUAUUUAUUUAUUUAUUGACUUUUAUGAAGUUUCCCCUUCCAUCCGAUCCCUACUGCCCAUGUUGUCCUGACCAUCCCUCCCAGCCAUCCAGCUGUCUGU